UUUGAAGAAGACAGGAGCGCAUUUGGUGUGGAUGCAGUACAUUCACUAAUCCAAGCCUGCACCACGCUUCCGUUUACUGUUCAGAAGGUACAGAGGCCUCACUCCACUGAGACAGACGGCAGCAGCGUCUGAAAGGGGAGGGAGAAGAGAAGCGUGGCCAGAUGAUUGUGCCCCACAGAAACACAGUUUACAGAAGAAGAAAGGAAGCUCAGAGAAGCUAAGCCAGCUGUGAUAAAGAAGCCCACAGUUGUAAGAAGGGACAAGGCUGAGAUCUGAACCCACUGUUAGAAGAAAUGGAAGAUCAACCAAGAGAAAAUGAAGGAACACAGAGAUGAGCAAAUGCAGGAUGUUGCUACCACCUGAGCACUGGAGAGUCGAGGCAGUGUGUCUGGAGCCCAGGAUCCUAGGCCAUAGAUGGAUGUUGGAACCAUGCAGAUCUGUGGCAUGGGCUAGAAGGGUGGAAUCCUUCCUGCCCCAGUCAUUCUCACUGAGACACCAAUAUGAUCCGCCCCCCCCACACACACCAUAUGCGGAAUUUACAAAGGGAAUAAAGGUUCCCUGCCAAUACACACACCAUAUGCAGAAUUUACAAAUGGAAUCUGUUCCAUGACUCCUGCACCCCUCAGCCAGA
RNAcentral lists this long non-coding RNA (631 nucleotides) under Equus caballus (horse). Its description in RNAcentral is "lncRNA (ENSECAG00000038568.3)". The record is from RNAcentral. Lineage: Eukaryota; Metazoa; Chordata; Mammalia; Perissodactyla; Equidae.